Molecule: ribosomal RNA, 767 nt
Filed under: uncultured Fusobacterium sp.
Lineage: Bacteria; Fusobacteriati; Fusobacteriota; Fusobacteriia; Fusobacteriales; Fusobacteriaceae
Description: bacterial SSU rRNA
Rfam family: Bacterial small subunit ribosomal RNA
Source: RNAcentral
AAUAAAGGAAUGAAGCUUCGGUAGAUUUUCUUUAUGGAAAGCGGCGGACGGGUGAGUAACGCGUAGGCAACCUGCCCUGUACAGGGGGAUAGCCACCCGAAAAGGUGAUUAAUACCCCAUAACGCAAGAGAUACACAUGUAUCACUUGCCAAAGAUUUAUCGGUAUAGGAUGGGCCUGCGUCUGAUUAGCUAGUUGGUAGGGUAACGGCUUACCAAGGCAACGAUCAGUAGCCGACCUGAGAGGGUGAUCGGCCACAUUGGAACUGAGACACGGUCCAAACUCCUACGGGAGGCAGCAGUGGGGAAUAUUGCACAAUGGGCGCAAGCCUGAUGCAGCAACGCCGCGUGAAGGAUGAAGGCCUUCGGGUUGUAAACUUCUGUCCUAGGGGAAGAAACAAAUGACAUUACCCUUGGAGGAAGCCCCGGCUAACUACGUGCCAGCAGCCGCGGUAAUACGUAGGGGGCGAGCGUUAUCCGGAAUUAUUGGGCGUAAAGAGUGCGUAGGUGGCACCUUAAGCGCAGGGUUUAAGGCAAUGGCUCAACCAUUGUUCGCCUUGCGAACUGGGGUGCUUGAGUGCAGGAGGGGAAAGUGGAAUUCCUAGUGUAGCGGUGAAAUGCGUAGAUAUUAGGAGGAACACCAGUGGCGAAGGCGACUUUCUGGACUGUUACUGACACUGAGGCACGAAAGCGUGGGGAGCAAACAGGAUUAGAUACCCUGGUAGUCCACGCCGUAAACGAUGAGCACUAGGUGUCGGGGUCGCAAGACU